GAUGAACGCUGGCGGCGUGCCUAACACAUGCAAGUCGAGCGAUCUUCUUCGGAAGAGAGCGGCGGACGGGUGAGUAACGCGUGGGUAACCUGCCCUGUACACACGGAUAACAUACCGAAAGGUAUGCUAAUACGGGAUAACAUAAGAAAGUCGCAUGGAUUUCUUAUCAAAGCUUUUGCGGUACAGGAUGGACCCGCGUCUGAUUAGCUAGUUGGUAAGGUAACGGCUUACCAAGGCGACGAUCAGUAGCCGACCUGAGAGGGUGAUCGGCCACAUUGGAACUGAGACACGGUCCAAACUCCUACGGGAGGCAGCAGUGGGGAAUAUUGCACAAUGGGCGAAAGCCUGAUGCAGCAACGCCGCGUGAGCGAUGAAGGCCUUCGGGUCGUAAAGCUCUGUCCUCAAGGAAGAUAAUGACGGUACUUGAGGAGGAAGCCCCGGCUAACUACGUGCCAGCAGCCGCGGUAAUACGUAGGGGGCUAGCGUUAUCCGGAAUUACUGGGCGUAAAGGGUGCGUAGGCGGUCUUUCAAGUCAGAAGUGAAAGGCUACGGCUCAACCGUAGUAAGCUUUUGAAACUGUAAGACUUGAGUGCAGGAGAGGAGAGUGGAAUUCCUAGUGUAGCGGUGAAAUGCGUAGAUAUUAGGAGGAACACCAGUUGCGAAGGCGGCUCUCUGGACUGUAACUGACGCUGAGGCACGAAAGCGUGGGGAGCAA
Molecule: ribosomal RNA, 715 nt
Filed under: uncultured Clostridium sp.
Lineage: Bacteria; Bacillati; Bacillota; Clostridia; Eubacteriales; Clostridiaceae
Description: bacterial SSU rRNA
Rfam family: Bacterial small subunit ribosomal RNA
Source: RNAcentral